CUUGAUCUUGAGGGAAGAAAAUAAUUUGUUCUAUCACUACAGAUGCAAGAAAAAAAGAGUCCUUGUACUUUCUGUCUGUCUGAUUGUGGCAGCCAAGAUUGAGUAGAGGAAUACAGGG
RNAcentral lists this small nucleolar RNA (118 nucleotides) under Castor canadensis (American beaver). Its description in RNAcentral is "Small nucleolar RNA SNORA31 (ENSCCNG00000018510.1)". The record is from RNAcentral. Lineage: Eukaryota; Metazoa; Chordata; Mammalia; Rodentia; Castoridae.